RNAcentral lists this non-coding RNA (26 nucleotides) under Homo sapiens (human). Lineage: Eukaryota; Metazoa; Chordata; Mammalia; Primates; Hominidae. The record is from RNAcentral.
CAGAUGUUUGGAGGCCAUGAUUAAGU